Molecule: long non-coding RNA, 1003 nt
Organism: Folsomia candida
Lineage: Eukaryota; Metazoa; Arthropoda; Collembola; Entomobryomorpha; Isotomidae
Exons: 3
Source: RefSeq, a predicted model, not a curated record
CUGGAGUUCGGGCUCGGAAAGAAAAUUGAAACAGUUUUACACCUCUUGUACCACAAAUACGAGAGGGGAAGACGUCAUAAAUUAUGAGGACGGACAUGGGAGGGAUUUCUCGGGAACAUUUACCAAUUGGCUUUCCGACGCUACUAUAGUUUCUCCCGAACCAGAUAAUCUCAAAAAAGAAUUUUGCACUGGUCGAAUCCGUACAAAAUUUCCCCUCCUCGUGACUCGAUUAUUUCUGGAAAAAAAUAUGGAAUCGAUUUCAAACGCUGGCGAAAUCUCGAAUCAAGUCCUGCAAACUGUGAAGGAUUCAAUCAACUCCGCAUCCGACUGGAUUCCGACCCCAAUUUCGCUCAAUACCAGGAUGGGAUUCUUUUUGGGCUACAAACAAUUCUUUUUGGGCUACAGCCGUUAUCGAUUUGUAUUCCGGUCUAUCCCUGGAUUCGAACGAUUUUCUAGAAAAUUUGAAACAAGUCGAUAAAUUUAAUAAAAUCCUGGAAUCAAUUCCGUCCCUGGAUGGCGCAAUAACUUCGGCGCAAUCAACCUUGCUGGCUAAUGCGACCUACAGCUUAGUUCAUGAUUUUGUCGUCCUUUCACCCGGGGAGGUGCACGUGCCCCGAUUUCAUCCCGGGUUUUUGGACAUGAAUUAGGCCAUGCUGUAAUGACCUACUUCAAUGGAAUGAGGCUGGAAAACAAGACGAAAAUUUUCAUUCAUGAGGAACCAUCAGAAUUCACCAAGCGUGUCUUUCAAGAAAAAUGAGAAUGUGUGGAAAGGCAGUACAACAGCUAUGAAAUUCAACUUCCCAACAACGAGAACAUCCGUAUCAAUGGAACUUUCACCUUGAACGACAACGUGGCCGACAUAAUCGGGAUUUAAAUGGCGUUCAAAUCCUGGAUGGAGAAUGACAUGGACAAAUCCCACAAAAAAUUCCUACCCCCACAAUUAUCUCAGGAGGGGAGCUUGCGAGGUUGAUAAUAACAGAUCUUGGUGCCCUUUGGAUAUGUG